Molecule: transfer RNA, 16 nt
Filed under: Colchicum montanum
Lineage: Eukaryota; Viridiplantae; Streptophyta; Magnoliopsida; Liliales; Colchicaceae
Description: partial tRNA-Phe
Source: RNAcentral
AUGGUUGGGAUAGCUC